GCAGCCGCCGCGGUAAUACAGAGGUCUCAAGCGUUGUUCGGAUUCAUUGGGCGUAAAGGGUGCGUAGGUGGCUUGGUAAGUUGAAGGUGAAAUCUCGAGGCUUAACUCCGAAACUGCCUUCAAUACUGCUGAGCUCGAGGAUUGUAGAGGAGAAUGGAAUUCACGGUGUAGCAGUGAAAUGCGUAGAUAUCGUGAGGAAGACCAGUGGCGAAGGCGAUUCUCUGGGCAAUUCCUGACACUGAGGCACGAAGGCCAGGGGAGCAAACGGGAUUAGAGACCCCCGUAGUCCCUGUCUCUUAUAC
RNAcentral lists this ribosomal RNA (302 nucleotides) under uncultured bacterium. Its description in RNAcentral is "partial 16S ribosomal RNA". It matches the Rfam family "Bacterial small subunit ribosomal RNA", at positions 508 to 807 of the family's 1533-position model. The record is from RNAcentral.